Molecule: small nucleolar RNA, 107 nt
Organism: Eutrema salsugineum
Lineage: Eukaryota; Viridiplantae; Streptophyta; Magnoliopsida; Brassicales; Brassicaceae
Rfam family: Plant small nucleolar RNA R71
About the family: R71 is a member of the C/D box family of snoRNAs containing the C (UGAUGA) and D (CUGA) box motifs. Multiple nearly identical copies of this snoRNA have been identified in Arabidopsis, and it is thought to function as a 2'-O-ribose methylation guide for 18S ribosomal RNA.
Source: Rfam
AAGCCGUGGUGUGGGCAUGGGUUAGUGUAGCUUCUAAACCGUUCCCAAGCUUCACUAAAGCUCUCGUUAUUGUGCUGCGUGAAACUUGAGAUCUGAUUCCUGAGCUU